GAUACCCUAUUAUUAUAGAUGUGGAUGUUUUUGCCUUGAUUACUAAUAGUUAAGUUCUUAAAAAUUAAAAAAUUUGGCGGUAUUUUAGUCUGUUCAGAGGAACCUGUUUUUUAAUUGAUGGUCCACGAUAAUUUGUACUUUAGCUUUAAAUUUGCAUAUCGUUGUUUAUAAAGAUUUUAGGAGGAUAAUAAUUUUUUUGAUUUUUUAUUAAAUAGUAUUUCAGAUCAAGGUGUAGUUUAUGUUAAAGUUAAAAUGGGUUACAUUGUAGAUAUAGUUGGUAUAUUUAUUUUAAAAGUAAGAUUAAAUUGGAUUUGAUAGUAAAUUUUUUAUUUUUGAGGAUUGAUUUAGCUCUAAAAUAUGCACACAUCGCC
RNAcentral lists this ribosomal RNA (371 nucleotides) under Trachyscelis aphodioides. Its description in RNAcentral is "partial 12S ribosomal RNA". The record is from RNAcentral. Lineage: Eukaryota; Metazoa; Arthropoda; Insecta; Coleoptera; Tenebrionidae.